CCAGACUCCUACGGGAGGCAGCAGUGAGGAAUAUUGGUCAAUGGCCGAAGGGCUGAACCAGCCAAGCCGCGUGAAGGAAUAAGGCCCUACGGGUCGUAAACUUCUUUAGUCAGGGAACAAAGGGUGCCACGCGUGGCGCUGUGAGUGUACCUGAAGAAUAAGCAUCGGCUAACUCCGUGCCAGCAGCCGCGGUAAUACGGAGGAUGCGAGCGUUAUCCGGAUUUAUUGGGUUUAAAGGGUGCGUAGGCGGACUGUUAAGUCAGGGGAAAACGCCGGGGCCCCACCCCGGGCGAGCCGUUGAAACUGGCUGUCUUGAGAUGUCGAGAGGUAUGCGGAAUGCGCAGUGUAGCGGUGAAAUGCUUAGAUAUUGCGCAGAACUCCGAUUGCGAAGGCAGCAUACCGGCGGCGAUCUGACGCUGAGGCACGAAAGCGUGGGUAUCGAACAGGAUUAGAUACCCGGGUAUA
This 465-nucleotide ribosomal RNA is filed under the name uncultured bacterium. RNAcentral describes it as "bacterial SSU rRNA". It matches the Rfam family "Bacterial small subunit ribosomal RNA", at positions 331 to 794 of the family's 1533-position model. The record is from RNAcentral.